GCCCGGCGCCCGCACACCGUUGACCGUAGCGCCGUCAAGCUUUGAGCACCCUUGCCGUACUCUCUAGCAGCUCCACCACGCACCUCCAUUACCUUCUCCUUCCUGCUGUCUCCCUCCACCCCAACCCAAACCCAUGUGGAGUAGCUGCAGCCGACGGUGACCGUGCCGCAGCCGCUUGUCUCCGUCCAGACGCUCGCUUUCCCACUUGCUACUGCUCCCAGUCGCCGCGCCCUGCCCGUACCCACCAUUCCCUUCCCCAAAUCCUCUCCAUUUCCUCAGCCCCCUCCUCGAUCUGCAUCUGGUGGCGCCAUUCCCUUUCCCCAAACCCUCUCUAUCCCCUUGCUCCCCCUCCUCGAUCUGCAUCUGGUGGCGCCAUACCCUUCCCCCAGACCCUCUCCAUCCCUCAGCGCCCCCUCGAUCUGCAUGUGGUGGGCUACGCACGACGGAUGGUCGUCCUGUUGGUGUGACCGAUGGCUGGUAAUCCCAAGGAUGCUGCGGCCCUGCGCUCUCUGCGCCACUCCCUACUGAAGCUGCGCUCUCUGUGCCACAGUGGGAAGAAUGAGGAGUAACCUGCGGAAGUUGAGGCAAGCUAGGAGUCCAGGCUGCUCAACGAGCACGAAGAUGAGAUGUCCGGAGGGAGGAGAAGCUUUGCGACUCCUCCUAGUUGAGGUGAUGAACUGAUGUCAUAGCUGACCUAUUUUGCUGCUGCAAGCAGAUGUUAAGGGACAGCCUUGGGCAUAGAGAAAAUGGCAGGAAAACGCUUGACUGCUUCUCCUUGCCGCGCACUGCGGGGUGUCAUGGAUCUAGUGUUUGGGUCAUGGGGCCACUGGCUGCUUGGCUGCGGGCUGCACCGUCGAUUCACAGCACGAAUUGCUGGUCUCAGGAUCACAGAGAUAAGUGCUCCAAAACUGCUAUUGCUGGCCUGCUCUUGUGGUUCAACACUCUGUCGCUGCCCUGCUCUUGUUGUUCAGUAAAUGGUAGUUCACUGAAAAGAGUGAUUGCAAAUAAAUUGUGGUGUAUUGAAGCUUCUUUAGAGUAAAUGGUUUGAUCUUAUAUACUGUAAAACUACUAUCUAAAGUUGCACACUUAUCUUGAUAAAUGCUCCUUUGUUAUUAUUUUACCCAUCAUAUGUGUUACUGGUCCAAAAUUGAUGAGAUAUGAAAUGAUCAUAUGCCUGGUCUGUAACAGUAGCAUUUCUGUUUGGAAGAGAACUCUUCACAUGAUUUUGUUAUUGCUUACUGGAUGUGAAAAACUGGCAUGUCUAUCUGUAUGCACUCAUGAUUAAGCAGCUGAUUCAUCUUAUGAGCUUGCUGCUAGUUUAGUUGGCUAACACUUCAUGAUAUAUAGGGUGGUAAUGCCACAACUAAAUUAGUUCUUUUAAAAAAAUGUAUGGCCUUGUAGAUUGGGUUAAUCGCUGCUGUGGUUUUUUCCAUGGAACAAAUUAAAUAUGGUGUUGUUCUUGAAAUCUCUUCUAUAUCUUGAAAAGUGUGUCUAUGUCUGGUAUAUAAUAUUAUAAAGUGUGGAUGUGCUAAUUCAGAAAUCAUCUUCAUUUGCUAAUUUUAUAUGUGCUUUGAGAUCAUUUUUGUUAGAAUAGAAUCCAAUUCAGUUCGAUUUAUGGCCACUCUUUCAUAAUGGAAAAUCAUCUUCUAAUUACAGGAAAAAGACUGAGCUUUCAUGCAUCCAAUCUAGGGAUACGAAGGAGAGUAACCCAGAGGCGGCACUUCAGGCACACCAGAAUGCAGACCAUCAUCUUUGCUUGAUUGCUUGCCUGGUGCAACUUUUGCAUGUACAUAUGUAUAUAUGAACGGAGGAUAAAUUGUAUUGCUUGACUGCUUGCCUGGUGCAAUUUUUUGCAUGUACCUAUGUAUGUGUAUGAAUAUGUGCAUGAACAGAGGAUGAACUGUGAACAUGUGACCUAUUUGUUCUCCCCUA
Molecule: long non-coding RNA, 1932 nt
Organism: Panicum hallii
Lineage: Eukaryota; Viridiplantae; Streptophyta; Magnoliopsida; Poales; Poaceae
Exons: 3
Source: RefSeq, a predicted model, not a curated record